GCCCGGCUAGCUCAAUUGGUCAGAGCGUCAGACUUUUAAGCCUAUUACGAGAAUAUCUGAAGGCUCUGGGUUCGAUCCCCAGGCUGGGCG
Molecule: transfer RNA, 90 nt
Filed under: Leucoagaricus sp. SymC.cos
Lineage: Eukaryota; Fungi; Basidiomycota; Agaricomycetes; Agaricales; Agaricaceae
Rfam family: tRNA
About the family: Transfer RNA (tRNA) molecules are approximately 80 nucleotides in length. Their secondary structure includes four short double-helical elements and three loops (D, anti-codon, and T loops).
Source: Rfam by way of RNAcentral